AUCGCAUGGUAGAUAUAUCAAAGAUUUAUCGCUCAGAGAUGGACUCGCGUCCGAUUAGUUAGUUGGUGAGGUAACGGCUCACCAAGACCACGAUCGGUAGCCGGACUGAGAGGUUGAACGGCCACAUUGGGACUGAGACAGGCUCACCAAGACCACGAUCGGUAGCCGGACUGAGAGGUUGAACGGCCACAUUGGGACUGAGACACGGCCCAGACUCCUACGGGAGGCAGCAGUGGGGAAUAUUGCACAAUGGGGGAAACCCUGAUGCAGCGACGCCGCGUGGAGGAAGAAGGUCUUCGGAUUGUAAACUCCUGUUGUUGAGGAAGAUAAUGACGGUACUCAACAAGGAAGUGACGGCUAACUACGUGCCAGCAGCCGCGGUAAAACGUAGGUCACAAGCGUUGUCCGGAAUUACUGGGUGUAAAGGGAGCGCAGGCGGGAAGACAAGUUGGAAGUGAAAUCCAUGGGCUCAACCCAUGAACUGCUUUCAAAACUGUUUUUCUUGAGUAGUGCAGAGGUAGGCGGAAUUCCCGGUGUAGCGGUGGAAUGCGUAGAUAUCGGGAGGAACACCAGUGGCGAAGGCGGCCUACUGGGCACCAACUGACGCUGAGGCUCGAAAGUGUG
Molecule: ribosomal RNA, 624 nt
Filed under: Parabacteroides merdae
Lineage: Bacteria; Pseudomonadati; Bacteroidota; Bacteroidia; Bacteroidales; Tannerellaceae
Description: bacterial SSU rRNA
Rfam family: Bacterial small subunit ribosomal RNA
Source: RNAcentral